GUGGAGGUAAGGAUACUCGGAUAGUGAAUAGGCGCGUGAGGACUAAACAUUAGUAUCCAAAAACAGAAUGGCACGGUCAUGGCACAAACGCCGUGUGUGUAUCUCCGACUCUGGAAACUUCCUUGAUCCUUCGUUGUUAUGGUCCCUCUACUCUGUCCUAACUUUGACGGAAAGCUAACGUUUUUCAUACGCGUGUUUCAUCAUGCACUAUCCAAAGGCCCCCUUUUUUUUAAUCCUUU
RNAcentral lists this long non-coding RNA (239 nucleotides) under Citrus maxima (pomelo). RNAcentral's name for it is "long non-coding RNA (CMAX_LNC002884)". The record is from RNAcentral. Lineage: Eukaryota; Viridiplantae; Streptophyta; Magnoliopsida; Sapindales; Rutaceae.